CUGUGACACAACAGUGCUGUGUGUGACACAACAGUGCUGAGUGUGACACAACAGUGCAAUGUGUGACACAACAGUGCUGAGUGUGACACAACAGUGCUGAGUGUGACACAACAGUGCAAUGUGUGACACAACAGUGCAAUGUGUGACACAACAGUGCAAUGUGUGACACAACAGUGCUGAGUGUGACACAACAGUGCAAUUGCUGACACAACAGUGCA
RNAcentral lists this long non-coding RNA (218 nucleotides) under Gallus gallus (chicken). Lineage: Eukaryota; Metazoa; Chordata; Aves; Galliformes; Phasianidae. The record is from RNAcentral.